Molecule: long non-coding RNA, 746 nt
Filed under: Trifolium pratense (red clover)
Lineage: Eukaryota; Viridiplantae; Streptophyta; Magnoliopsida; Fabales; Fabaceae
Description: long non-coding RNA (TPRA_LNC006513)
Source: RNAcentral
CCAUUAAGGUUGAUCACUGAUUUCCAAAUGGCAAAAAAAUAAUAUUAAAAUUCCAUCUAAAAAAAUAACCGGCCUUCAAACGAUAAGACUGCAAACAAGAGCAACAUCUAACUAAAUAAACACAGUCUAAUAACACACUCUAUUAUUCAUGAAAUCUAUGUGAGUCUCACUAACUAAAUUAUUUGAAUCCCAUUUUAUAUUUGGUGAAUCUUAUUCCUAAAAUAAUGAGACCAACAUAAAUUUCAACUAUAAAGAGUGUGCUGACAAAGAAUAUACAAGCAAAACGAGUACUCAUGGAGGAGCAUUGGAAACAAAUUUAGAACAGCCCACUUCUGAAAGAGGGUCUUCCUCAUGGUUUUUCCUUUGAAUGGAACCUUAGGUCUAAACUUUCUUUAAGGUACCUAGCUUUUUGAGCUUCCAGCCACAGAUCCUUUGCUAAAUCUUGCUGAACCCGUUUCCUCGUCCCGUCUGAUGGCGGUAGGUUCUUCAACAGCAUUAGGAGGGUGCUGAUCCUCAUCUCCAUAACUUCUGCAAUACGAUGAAACAACGUUGGCAUAAAUACUUACAUAUAACAGAUAUUAAACAAUAACUCACAGUCUCACACACACACACACACACACCAUAUCUCUAAAUCCUGAGCCAAGUGGAAGAGGAAACCCACUAAAUCUGGAAUACAGAAUGACUUAAGCUACAUGAUCAGUUAGAAGAAAACUUCUGCUGCUAAAUAGCUCGAAUUCUAUUAGUGG